RNAcentral lists this ribosomal RNA (465 nucleotides) under uncultured bacterium. RNAcentral describes it as "bacterial SSU rRNA". It matches the Rfam family "Bacterial small subunit ribosomal RNA", at positions 8 to 491 of the family's 1533-position model. The record is from RNAcentral.
AGAGUUUGAUCAUGGCUCAGGACGAACGCUGGCGGCGUGCUUAACACAUGCAAGUCGAGCGAUGAAACUUCUUCGGAAGUGGAUUAGCGGCGGACGGGUGAGUAACACGUGGGUAACCUGCCUCAUAGAGGGGAAUAGCCUUUCGAAAGGAAGAUUAAUACCGCAUAAGAUUGUAAUGUCGCAUGACAUAGCAAUUAAAGGAGCAAUCCGCUAUGAGAUGGACCCGCGUCGCAUUAGCUAGUUGGUGAGGUAACGGCUCACCAAGGCGACGAUGCGUAGCCGACCUGAGAGGGUGAUCGGCCACAUUGGGACUGAGACACGGCCCAGACUCCUACGGGAGGCAGCAGUGGGGAAUAUUGCACAAUGGGGGAAACCCUGAUGCACAACGCCCGCGUGAGUGAUGACGGCCUUCGGGUUGUAAAGCUCUGUCUUUAGGGACGAUAUGACGGUACCUAAGGAGGAAGC